AUUGAACGCUGGCGGAAUGCUUUACACAUGCAAGUCGAACGGCAGCACGGACUUCGGUCUGGUGGCGAGUGGCGAACGGGUGAGUAAUGUAUCGGAAUGUGCCCAGUCGUGGGGGAUAACGUAGUGAAAAUUACGCUAAUACCGCAUACGAUCUAUGGAUGAAAGCGGGGGAUCGCAAGACCUCGCGCGAUUGGAGCGGCCGAUAUCAGAUUAGGUAGUUGGUGGGGUAAAGGCCCACCAAGCCAACGAUCUGUAGCUGGUCUGAGAGGACGACCAGACACACUGGAACUGAGACACGGUCCAGGCUCCUACGGGAGGCAGCAGUGGGGAAUUUUGGACAAUGGGCGAAAGCCUGAUCCAGCCAUUCCGCGUGCAGGAUGAAGGCCCUCGGGUUGUAAACUGCUUUUGUACAGAACGAAAAGGUUUCUACUAAUACUAGGAGCUCAUGACGGUACUGUAAGAAUAAGCACCGGCUAACUACGUGCCAGCCGCCGCGGUAA
RNAcentral lists this ribosomal RNA (500 nucleotides) under uncultured bacterium. RNAcentral's name for it is "partial 16S ribosomal RNA". It matches the Rfam family "Bacterial small subunit ribosomal RNA", at positions 30 to 523 of the family's 1533-position model. The record is from RNAcentral.